GAUGAACGCUGGCGGCGUGCCUAAUACAUGCAAGUCGAGCGAACAGACGAGGAGCUUGCUCCUCUGACGUUAGCGGCGGACGGGUGAGUAACACGUGGAUAACCUACCUAUAAGACUGGGAUAACUUCGGGAAACCGGAGCUAAUACCGGAUAAUAUAUUGAACCGCAUGGUUCAAUAGUGAAAGACGGUUUUGCUGUCACUUAUAGAUGGAUCCGCGCCGCAUUAGCUAGUUGGUAAGGUAACGGCUUACCAAGGCGACGAUGCGUAGCCGACCUGAGAGGGGGGUCGGCCAACAGGGAACUGGGAAACGGUCCAGACUCCUACGGGAGGCAGCAGUAGGGAAUCUUCCGCAAUGGGCGAAAGCCUGACGGAGCAACGCCGCGUGAGUGAUGAAGGUCUUCGGAUCGUAAAACUCUGUUAUUAGGGAAGAACAAAUGUGUAAGUAACUAUGCACGUCUUGACGGUACCUAAUCAGAAAGCCACGGCUAACUACGUG
This 497-nucleotide ribosomal RNA is filed under the name uncultured bacterium. Its description in RNAcentral is "partial 16S ribosomal RNA". It matches the Rfam family "Bacterial small subunit ribosomal RNA", at positions 28 to 507 of the family's 1533-position model. The record is from RNAcentral.